ACAGGUAUGUAUUAGCUUUUGCCAGACCUGGGUCAGAGCCCAAAGUCAAAACUGAGGCCAAAGGGACAAUCUUGCUGAGGACUCCUGCUGCUGCCAAGGGCUGUCCAUCCAUAGGAAGACUUCCCUUGACAGCCCUGUCCUGAGGCAGCUGGUUCUGGUGGGCAGCUGGAAACAUAUACUUUUUCAGUACUCCAUAUUGUGAUGUCAACCCUACAAUAGAUUAUCCUUGAAAAAGAAUAUUACUCCCACCUUUUGGGACCCCUCUGCUACCUUAUAGAGUGA
RNAcentral lists this long non-coding RNA (282 nucleotides) under Ursus americanus (American black bear). Its description in RNAcentral is "lncRNA (ENSUAMG00000025625.1)". The record is from RNAcentral. Lineage: Eukaryota; Metazoa; Chordata; Mammalia; Carnivora; Ursidae.